UAUUUUGACUAUACAAAGGUAUUGUAAUAAGGCUUUAAUUGAGUGCUAAAAGAAUGGACUUUCAAAAAAACUCUUUUUUAAAUUUAAAAAUUUAAAUUAUUUUUAUUUGUGAAGAAACAAUAAUUUAAAUUAAGGACAAGAAGACCCUAAGAAUUUUAGUAUUUCACAUAUAAAAUUAUAUAUGUAAAAUGCUUAAUUGGGGCGAUUCAAAAAAAUUAUAAACUUUUUUAUUAUAAAUAUGACCCAUUAUUAAUGAUAUUAUGAAACAAAUACUCUAGGGAUAACAGCGUAAUAAUUUUAGAUAGACCAUAUAGAUAAAAUAGUUUGCGACCUCGAUGUUGGAUUAGGAUUCUAAUUUAAUGCAGAAGUUAAAUUAAGAAGUUUGUUCAACUUUUAAAAUCC
Molecule: ribosomal RNA, 402 nt
Filed under: Haemaphysalis wellingtoni
Lineage: Eukaryota; Metazoa; Arthropoda; Arachnida; Ixodida; Ixodidae
Description: partial 16S ribosomal RNA
Source: RNAcentral